UUGACGGGGGCCCGCACAAGCGGCGGAGCAUGCGGAUUAAUUCGAUGCAACGCGAAGAACCUUACCAAGGCUUGACAUGACCGAGAACGCCGCAGAAAUGUGGAACUCUUUGGACACUCGGUUACAGGUGGUGCAUGGUUGUCGUCAGCUCGUGUCGUGAGAUGUUGGGUUAAGUCCCGCAACGAGCGCAACCCUCGUCGCAUGUUGCCAGCACGUAAUGGUGGGAACUCAUGUGAGACUGCCGGGGUCAACUCGGAGGAAGGUGGGGAUGACGUCAAAUCAUCAUGCCCCUUAUGUCUUGGGCUUCACGCAUGCUACAAUGGCCGGUACAAAGGGCUGCGAUGUCGUAAGGCGGAGCGAAUCCCAAAAAGCCGGUCUCAGUUCGGAUUGAGGUCUGCAACUCGACCUCAUGAAGUCGGAGUCGCUAGUAAUCGCAGAUCAGCAACGCUGCGGUGAAUACGUUCCCGGGCCUUGUACACACCGCCCGUCAAGUCAUGAAAGUCGGUAACACCCGAAGCCGGUGGCCUAACCCUUGUGGAGGGAGCCGUCGAA
RNAcentral lists this ribosomal RNA (552 nucleotides) under Agromyces ramosus. RNAcentral's name for it is "bacterial SSU rRNA". It matches the Rfam family "Bacterial small subunit ribosomal RNA", at positions 910 to 1460 of the family's 1533-position model. Lineage: Bacteria; Bacillati; Actinomycetota; Actinomycetes; Micrococcales; Microbacteriaceae. The record is from RNAcentral.